GGAGGAAUGGUAGAGCGGUUGAAUACAGCAGUCUUGAAAACUGCCAGACCUUCGCGGGUCUCGUGGGUUCGAAUCCCACUUCCUCCGCCA
This 90-nucleotide transfer RNA is filed under the name Pseudobdellovibrionaceae bacterium. Its description in RNAcentral is "Bdellovibrionaceae bacterium (bioreactor metagenome) tRNA-Ser". It matches the Rfam family "tRNA". Rfam says of the family: Transfer RNA (tRNA) molecules are approximately 80 nucleotides in length. Lineage: Bacteria; Pseudomonadati; Bdellovibrionota; Bdellovibrionia; Bdellovibrionales; Pseudobdellovibrionaceae. The record is from RNAcentral. RNAcentral also lists the same sequence under 1 other name.